This 28-nucleotide non-coding RNA is filed under the name Bombyx mori (domestic silkworm). Lineage: Eukaryota; Metazoa; Arthropoda; Insecta; Lepidoptera; Bombycidae. The record is from RNAcentral.
UAAGACAAGUGAACGCUGCGCGCGCUUC